RNAcentral lists this ribosomal RNA (1402 nucleotides) under uncultured bacterium. RNAcentral's name for it is "bacterial SSU rRNA". It matches the Rfam family "Bacterial small subunit ribosomal RNA". The record is from RNAcentral.
GAGUUUGAUCAUGGCUCAGAUUGAACGCUGGCGGCAGGCUUAACACAUGCAAGUCGAACGGUAGCAGGAGAAAGCUUGCUUUCUUGCUGACGAGUGGCGGACGGGUGAGUAAUGCUUGGGAAUCUGGCUUAUGGAGGGGGAUAACUACGGGAAACUGUAGCUAAUACCGCGUAGUGUCGAGAGACGAAAGUGCGGGACCGUAAGGCCGCAUGCCAUGAGAUGAGCCCAAGUGGGAUUAGGUAGUUGGUGGGGUAAAGGCCUACCAAGCCUGCGAUCUCUAGCUGGUCUGAGAGGAUGGCCAGCCACACUGGAACUGAGACACGGUCCAGACUCCUACGGGAGGCAGCAGUGGGGAAUAUUGCGCAAUGGGGGGAACCCUGACGCAGCCAUGCCGCGUGAAUGAAGAAGGCCUUCGGGUUGUAAAGUUCUUUCGGUAUUGAGGAAGGGAUGUGUGCUAAUAGUACAUAUCAUUGACGUUAAAUACAGAAGAAGCACCGGCUAACUCCGUGCCAGCAGCCGCGGUAAUACGGAGGGUGCGAGCGUUAAUCGGAAUAACUGGGCGUAAAGGGCACGCAGGCGGUAUUUAAGUGAGGUGUGAAAGCCCCGGGCUUAACCUGGGAAUUGCAUUUCAGACUGGGUAACUAGAGUACUUUAGGGAGGGGUAGAAUUCCACGUGUAGCGGUGAAAUGCGUAGAGAUGUGGAGGAAUACCGAAGGCGAAGGCGGCCCCUUGGGAAUGUACUGACGCUCAAUGUGGAAAGCGUGGGGAGCAAACAGGAUUAGAUACCCUGGUAGUCCACGCUGUAAACGCUGUCGAUUUGGGGAUUGAGCUUUAAGCUUGGUGCCCGUAGCUAACGUGAUAAAAUCGACCGCCUGGGGAGUACGGCCGCAAGGUUAAAACUCAAAAUGAAUUGACGGGGGCCCGCACAAGCGGUGGAGCAUGUGGUUUAAUUCGAUGCAAACGCGAAGAACCUUACCUACUCUUGACAUCCAUGGAAUCCUGUGGAGAUACGGGAGUGCCUUCGGGAACCAUGAGACAGGUGCUGCAUGGCUGUCGUCAGCUCGUGUUGUGAAAAUGUUGGGUUAAAGUCCCGCAAACGAGCGCAACCCUUAUCCUUUGUUGCCAGCGAUUUGGUCGGGAACUCAAAGGAGACUGCCAGUGAUAAACUGGAGGAAGGUGGGGAUGACGUCAGGUCUUCAUGGCCCUUACGAAGUAGGGCUACACACGUGCUACGAAUGGGGUAUACGAAGGGGGCGAAAAUUGGAGAUGGGAGGAAUCUCAGAAAGGUACUUCGAAUCCCGGAUUGGGUUCUGCGAACAGAACUCCAGGAGUUGGGAACGGCUGUGAUCGGCGAUCAGGAUGUCGGCGGUAAAGACUUUCCCCGGCCCUGUUCGCCCCCCCC